UACAGAGGUCCCAAGCGUUGUUCGGAUUCACUGGGCGUAAAGGGUGCGUAGGUGGCCGGGUAAGUCUGAUGUGAAAUCUCCGAGCUUAACUCGGAAAUGGCAUUGGAUACUAUUCGGCUGGAGGGUUGGAGGGGGGACUGGAAUUCUCGGUGUAGCAGUGAAAUGCGUAGAUAUCGAGAGGAACACCAGUGGCGAAGGCGAGUCCCUGGACAACUCCUGACACUGAGGCACGAAAGCUAGGGGAGCAAACAGG
RNAcentral lists this ribosomal RNA (253 nucleotides) under uncultured bacterium. RNAcentral's name for it is "partial 16S ribosomal RNA". It matches the Rfam family "Bacterial small subunit ribosomal RNA", at positions 524 to 776 of the family's 1533-position model. The record is from RNAcentral.